AUGGCUUAAUAAUACCACCACGAAGCCUUAAAACAAGAUGCAAUGUUGACUCUGUAAAAUAGAGAAAUCAACCCAAUGAUAAGUCUCACACUUUACAUUAAAGUCAUUGAGCAUAAUUAACAAUACCUGGGGUCUGUUGUUUCUCAGCCAAGCAGCACGAAAGUACUUGGAGUCGGACAAAAUAAAUCGAACAAAAUAAAGUAAAAAGUGCCUAAUUUUGAAUUUCAUAAAGAUUGUUAGGUUAAUUCUUAUCAAUUUAAAAACUACAGAUUUCCACCUCAAACCCCUACACUCUUUCCAUUCAUACACAUAUAUGACUAGCUACAAUUCCUAAAAUUCAUAUAAAAAAACAAAAUCAAUCAAUCACCGCAUUCAAACCAGUAGAGGAAUUAACAUCAAAUCGAAAUGAAUCCGAACCACUUCAAGUCGAACUGAAUCCGAAUCACUUCAAGUCGAACUGAAUCCGGUGCAAAGCAAAUUCUAAUUCAAAGGUUGUGAAUGGAGAUUUUGAAGAAAUCGAUUAUGAACUAGAGCAAACAGUGAGACAGAAAAAUCGAACGUUGUGAAGGAGUGUUUGAAGAAACGAACCUGAGCAAGGGCUUAUCAUACGGAGGAAGCUGUGAAAAAUCGUUGGCCGCAAAUGGAGUUUGAGCGUGGUGGAGCGUGAGAGUGCAUUUGGAAUCGAGGGUUGAGUUCUGUGUAGCUUGGGGAAGUUAGUAGAAUGUGUGAGUAUAGUCUGUUAUUUGAAAUAUCCAUGUUUAAA
Molecule: long non-coding RNA, 763 nt
Filed under: Phaseolus vulgaris (common bean)
Lineage: Eukaryota; Viridiplantae; Streptophyta; Magnoliopsida; Fabales; Fabaceae
Description: long non-coding RNA (PVUL_LNC003167)
Source: RNAcentral